Dermacentor silvarum is the source of this 333-nucleotide long non-coding RNA. RefSeq lists it as uncharacterized. Lineage: Eukaryota; Metazoa; Arthropoda; Arachnida; Ixodida; Ixodidae. The record is from RefSeq and is a predicted model, not a curated record. The transcript is spliced from 3 exons.
CAGAUGUUGCAGUAUGUUAUGCUAACUGCAACGGGAAUACGCCUAAAGGUUAUUGCUUCGACAACGGAAGAGGGCAUUGCAGGUGUAACUGUGUUGGCAGGGAUCUCGAGUGCAGGCCUGCGAAUGGACAUCACUGCCAGAACAAUACUGCCGAGAAAUGCGAAGACGGAGAUCGUUUGUGCCUUUGCCGCUGUGAAUAGAAGACCUAUUCUGAAAGACAAGGAUGAAAAUCAAGUCAUCACGGACGUCCUUCUUUGUCUUUCUCCUUAUGUCAGAAGAGCAAUAGUGAAGGAGGAAUAAACUUUUGUGCAUCAAAAUAUUGCGUUUUUCUAG